UCUCUAUCUCUCACCAUUUUCAUAUGCUUUCAAUCUACUCUAAAUUCCUCGCAAUCCCAACCGACUGCCUGGAAAAGCACGAAUGCACACCUGGAUACAACCAAUUAGUUGUAAAAUGCCUCAGAAAUCAAUAUCCUGACAAAUCAUUGUUGUUUCUAUUGAAGAAGUAACAAGUAAAUAGCAUAAACUGUUGUAAAUAACUGCUAGAAGAUGUAACAGGGGAGGGGGAAAAAAGGAAGAGGACCCCGAAAAACAUAGUUUAUCAGCAUAUAAAUCGAAAAGGAAAUACCAAGAGGGAACUCAAAGAUUAAAGACCAGUAGGUUUCUUAUCAAAUGUACGGAUAAAACCUUAAGACUUAUAGGUAAUCAGCAACCCCGAGGAGAUUUGCAGAAUAGCAUUGCUGCUAUUAAUUUAAGGCUAUAUUAGAUAACAUGAAGACAUGGAAAAUGCAUUCUUAUUUUAGAGAACUUAUUAAACAGACGAGAUUACCAAAAUGACUGAAAGAGCACUUGACAUGCUACAAGCAAAAUGCACCUCUUCAACCCAACCUUUGACAUGGACAAAUAAGUUGGCCUGCAGAAACAACUAAGUACAAGACAAGUACUUAGUUGACUGAUAAACAAGCACUGCACAGCGUUGCUUCGCAAUCCAUCUCUUUCACUUUUCAUCAUCAAAUGGCUACAAAUAAAUACAUUAUUCUUCUAUAUAGAAAUAAUGAGAAAGGCAGUAAGCAAAAUUCAAAACAGAAAUGUGUAGGAUCCCUACGAAUGUAAUUCAUUGUCAUCUGCUGUAACAAAUUGCAUUGCCGAAUCUGCUAUUUUAAAAAGCUACCAGAAAACCGGGCCUAAAUUUACAGGCUUAACCUAGGAUAAUGCU
RNAcentral lists this long non-coding RNA (877 nucleotides) under Nicotiana tabacum (common tobacco). RNAcentral describes it as "long non-coding RNA (NTAB_LNC013558)". The record is from RNAcentral. Lineage: Eukaryota; Viridiplantae; Streptophyta; Magnoliopsida; Solanales; Solanaceae.